CUCGUAGGUGGCCAACUAAGUCAGACGUGAAAUCCCUCGGCUUAACCGGGGAACUGCGUCUGAUACUGGAUGGCUUGAGUUCGGGAGAGGGAUGCGGAAUUCCAGGUGUAGUGGUGAAAUGCGUAGAUAUCUGGAGGAACACCGGUGGCGAAGGCGGCAUCCUGGACCGACACUGACGCUGAGGAGCGAAAGCCAGGGGAGCAAACG
This 207-nucleotide ribosomal RNA is filed under the name uncultured bacterium. Its description in RNAcentral is "partial 16S ribosomal RNA". It matches the Rfam family "Bacterial small subunit ribosomal RNA", at positions 568 to 774 of the family's 1533-position model. The record is from RNAcentral.